UACGAAGGGAGCUAGCGUUGUUCGGAAUUACUGGGCGUAAAGGGCGCGUAGGCGGUUAUGUAAGUCAGAUGUGAAAUCCCCGGGCUUAACCUGGGAACUGCAUUUGAGACUGCAUAGCUAGAGGAUGAGAGAGGAAAGUGGAAUUGCGAGUGUAGAGGUGAAAUUCGUAGAUAUUCGCAAGAACACCAGUGGCGAAGGCGGCUUUCUGGCUCAUUACUGACGCUAAGGCGCGAAAGCGUGGGGAGCAAACAGG
Molecule: ribosomal RNA, 253 nt
Filed under: uncultured bacterium
Lineage: Bacteria
Description: partial 16S ribosomal RNA
Rfam family: Bacterial small subunit ribosomal RNA
Source: RNAcentral